RNAcentral lists this ribosomal RNA (602 nucleotides) under Staphylococcus warneri. RNAcentral describes it as "bacterial SSU rRNA". It matches the Rfam family "Bacterial small subunit ribosomal RNA", at positions 75 to 662 of the family's 1533-position model. The record is from RNAcentral. Lineage: Bacteria; Bacillati; Bacillota; Bacilli; Caryophanales; Staphylococcaceae.
GGAGCUUGCUCCUUUGACGUUAGCGGCGGACGGGUGAGUAACACGUGGAUAACCUACCUAUAAGACUGGGAUAACUUCGGGAAACCGGAGCUAAUACCGGAUAACAUAUUGAACCGCAUGGUUCAAUAGUGAAAGGCGGCUUUGCUGUCACUUAUAGAUGGAUCCGCGCCGUAUUAGCUAGUUGGUAAGGUAACGGCUUACCAAGGCAACGAUACGUAGCCGACCUGAGAGGGUGAUCGGCCACACUGGAACUGAGACACGGUCCAGACUCCUACGGGAGGCAGCAGUAGGGAAUCUUCCGCAAUGGGCGAAAGCCUGACGGAGCAACGCCGCGUGAGUGAUGAAGGUCUUCGGAUCGUAAAACUCUGUUAUCAGGGAAGAACAAAUGUGUAAGUAACUGUGCACAUCUUGACGGUACCUGAUCAGAAAGCCACGGCUAACUACGUGCCAGCAGCCGCGGUAAUACGUAGGUGGCAAGCGUUAUCCGGAAUUAUUGGGCGUAAAGCGCGCGUAGGCGGUUUUUUAAGUCUGAUGUGAAAGCCCACGGCUCAACCGUGGAGGGUCAUUGGAAACUGGAAAACUUGAGUGCAGAAGAGGAAAGU